This 949-nucleotide long non-coding RNA is filed under the name Homo sapiens (human). RNAcentral's name for it is "non-protein coding lnc-TTK-5:1". The record is from RNAcentral. Lineage: Eukaryota; Metazoa; Chordata; Mammalia; Primates; Hominidae.
AAGACUAAUUUAGAUGAUUAUAUAACUGACCUGAAAUAGAGGAGUUUUAUGGAUGCUGAGCUAGAUAUGACCCAAGAUAUUGUGAGCAAAGACAGUAUAUGUGGAGAAUCAAGCACAGUAAAAUGUUUCCAAGACUAUUUUUGCAAUUUUUCAGUCUGUAAGGACCAGAGAAGAAGGGUAUAUACUUGUACAGUCACCGACUGAAAUGCAGCACCCGUGGAUCCCAUGUUAUAUUAUACCAAAAAACCUAUCCCAGCUGCACACAACAGACAUGACCAGGGUAGAUUCAAAGGAAAAGAAACAAGGCUUGAAACUCAACACUGCAGCACUUAGCAUGGUAGGGCACAGAAAUCUCUAACAGAGGGUGCAUCUGUCUAUAAGACAUAGACCCCUGCAGGAUAGCCAGUACUGAGAUCAGUUUCCCAAGCAGGACUUCCCCUAAACCAGAAGAAACAAUCUCAAACACCCAUUAUCGUAAGUCCAGCAGAUACUACCUCUUUAAUAACCAUGUUUAAUGCAAAGGACUUUCUACAGAAUCUGAGAUUUGGCCCAUCAGAUGAAGAGCAGAAACUAGGCUGCCAAUGAAAUGAAAAUAAAAUGAAACUAUAAUUCAGAGAAGAUAAGCACAGAUGCAGCCAGAGGGCACUACAGUUAGUUGUCACCAUUUCUUACAGAGUAGUAGACCAGUACCUUAAGUAUAUAAGUGUAUGACUGAGGCUGGGAAGUGGUGGGACCAGGUUUUGCAGUUUUUGUACAGUUUUGAAUUGUGCACUAGUUUGAAACUUUGCCAUAACUUUUGCUUGAUGGUUGACAUAUUUGCUAAAAUUAAAGACUUUCAUACCAAAUGUGAUGAAAUUUUUCUAGAACAAAAUGUUCAGAAUCAGAUGGAACAGGAUUAGAACUCAGCUAUCACAAAUCUCAUUUGCAUAGACCAGUUUGCUUACAGUUC